UGCUUGUCUCAAAGAUUAAGCCAUGCAUGCCUAAGCGUGAACUAAAUUAAAGUGAAGCCACGAAUAGCUCAUUACCACAGCCGUUGCUUCUUGGAUCUCCGUAAUACUUGGAUAAUCUGUGGUAAUUCUAGAGCUAAUACACGCAAUCGAGCUCCGACCGUAAGGAACGAGCGCAUUUAUUAGAACAAAACCAAUCAGUGCUUGCACUGUGGUUUGGUGAAUCUGAAUAACUGAGCAGAUCGCUACGGUCUUGUACCGGCGACGUAUCUUUCAAGUGUCUGCCUUAUCAACUUUCGAUGGUAGUUUAUGUGCCUACGAUGGUUGUAACGGGUAACGGAGAAUUAGGGUUCGACUCCGGAGAGGGAGCCUGAGAAACGGCUACCACUUCCRAGGAAGGCAGCAGGCA
This 406-nucleotide ribosomal RNA is filed under the name Nematoda environmental sample. RNAcentral describes it as "SSU rRNA". It matches the Rfam family "Eukaryotic small subunit ribosomal RNA", at positions 29 to 436 of the family's 1831-position model. The record is from RNAcentral. Lineage: Eukaryota; Metazoa; Nematoda.